AUUGAACGCUGGCGGCAGGCCUAACACAUGCAAGUCGAACGGUAACAGGAAACAGCUUGCUGUUUCGCUGACGAGUGGCGGACGGGUGAGUAAUGUCUGGGAAACUGCCUGAUGGAGGGGGAUAACUACUGGAAACGGUAGCUAAUACCGCAUAACGUCGCAAGACCAAAGAGGGGGACCUUCGGGCCUCUUGCCAUCGGAUGUGCCCAGAUGGGACUAGCUAGUAGGUGGGGUAACGGCUCACCUAGGCGACGAUCCCUAGCUGGUCUGAGAGGAUGACCAGCCACACUGGAACUGAGACACGGUCCAGACUCCUACGGGAGGCAGCAGUGGGGAAUAUUGCACAAUGGGCGCAAGCCUGAUGCAGCCAUGCCGCGUGUAUGAAGAAGGCCUUCGGGUCGUAAAGCUCUGUUGUUAGGGAAGAACAAGUACGAGAGUAACUGCUCAUACCUUGACGGUACCUAACCAGAAAGCCACGGCUAACUACGUGCCAGCAGCCGCGGUAAUACGUAGGUGGCAAGCGUUGUCCGGAAUUAUUGGGCGUAAAGCGCGCGCAGGUGGUUCUUUAAGUCUGAUGUGAAAGCCCACGGCUCAACCGUGGAGGGUCAUUGGAAACUGGGGAACUUGAGUGCAGAAGAGGAAAGUGGAAUUCCAAGUGUAGCGGUGAAAUGCGUAGAGAUUUGGAGGAACACCAGUGGCGAAGGCGACUUUCUGGUCUGUAACUGACACUGAGGCGCGAAAGCGUGGGGAGCAAACAGGAUUAGAUACCCUGGUAGUCCACGCCGUAAACGAUG
RNAcentral lists this ribosomal RNA (794 nucleotides) under uncultured bacterium. Its description in RNAcentral is "partial 16S ribosomal RNA". It matches the Rfam family "Bacterial small subunit ribosomal RNA", at positions 28 to 811 of the family's 1533-position model. The record is from RNAcentral.